GCAUAUUGAAACGCUUUUGCAAGGGGGAUAUCAUUACAUCAACAUUACAUAAUAGAUGGGGAUACAUACAUAAGGCAUACAAUGCCACAUGAAUACAACAUCACAAUACAUAAGAGCAUCAUCCGACUACGGACGAAACACAAACAGAAACUCAAACGACAUCCACCCUGCUAGCCCAGGCUGCCGACCUGGAACCUAUCCCCUGAUCGAAGAAGCAGAAGAAGAACUCAACGCAAGCAAGCAUCGCUCUCGCGUCAUGAUCAUCGCUCAACCUGUACCUGCAACUGUUGUUGUAGUAAUCUGUGAGCCACGAGGACUCAGCAAUCCCAUUACCAUGGGUAUCAAGACUAGCAAAGCUUAAAGGGAAUGGAAGGGGUAAAGUGGUGAGGCUGCAGCAGCGACUAAGCAUGAUAUGGUGGCUAACAUACGCAAAUAAGAGCGAGAAGAGAGCAAGCGGAACGGUCGUGAAGCUAGCAAUGAUCAAGAAGUGAUCCUGAACUCCUACUUACGUCAAACAUAACCCAUAAAUCGUGUUUACUUCCCGGACUCCGCCGAGAAGAGACCAUCACAGCUACACACGCGGUUGAUGCGUUUUAAUUUGGAUCUGGUGUCAAGUUAUCUACAACCAGACAUUAACAAAUUCCCAUCUGCCUAUAACCGCAGGCACGGCUUUCGAAAGAUUAUACCCUGCAGGGGUGUCCCAACUUAGCCCAUGAUAAGCUCUCGUGAUCAACGAAGGAAUAGACCUUCUCCUAGGAAGACCCGAUCAGACUCGGAAUCCCAGUUUACAAGACAUUUCGACAAUGGUAAAACAAGACCAGCAAAGCCGCCCGAUGCACCGACAAAUCCCGAUAGGAGCUGCACAUAUUUCGUUCUCAGGGCACACCGAAUGAGCAAGACGUCGGGUUGGCAUAGACCCUGAUUGCCCAGGGGGCGCCGGACAUCGCUCGGUUCGGACCAACACUUAGACAAGCACUGGCCCGGGGGGGCUAAAAUAAAGAUGACCCUUGGGUUGGCCAACCCAAGGGAAAGGGAUAGGUGGUGGUGAGGCAAAUGGUAAAACCAAGGUUGGGCCUUGCUGGAGGAGUUUUAUUCAAAGCGAACUGUCAAGGGGGUCCCAUAAAUCACCCGACCGCGUAAGGAACGCAAAAUCCGGGAACAUAACACCGGUAUGACGGAAACUAGGGCGGCAAGAGUGGAACAAAACACCAGGCAAAAGGCCAAGUCUUCCACCCUUUACCAAGUAUAUAGAUGCAUUAAUAAUAUAAGAGAUAUUAUGAUAUCCCAACCAAAAUCCUGUCCACCAUGGAGAAAUCUUCAACUUCACCUGCAACUAGCAACGCUAUAAGAGGGCUGAGCAAAGCGGUAACAUAGCCAAACAAUGGUUUGCAUGGGAAAGGUGUCAAAGGUUAGAGGUUCAUGGCAAUUUAGGAUGGCUUGAUAAACAGGUAAUAGGUAGCGCAGCAAAGCAAUAGAACGAAGCAACUAGCAUAGCAAUGAUAGUAGUGAGAUCCAGGGUAGCGGUCAUCUUGCCUGAAAUCCCGCAAGGAAGAAGAACGAGUCCAUGAAGAAGACGAACGGAUGAAGCCGAACCAAGCGUAGACGAACGAAUCCUCACGAUCGCAACGAAACAGGAACUAUUGAAAAGAAGCACACAACAUAGUAAACACACCACACAUGAACAAGACAUGAUGCACAAACAAGCAUGAUGCAUGACAAAGCUACAUGAAGCUACUCAUGGCAAGAGAUGAUGCAAACAAGAGCAACACAUCAAGGCAAGUUUAAAUGAUGCCGGGAACAACAUAUAACAAUUCUGGUAAGUCCUCAUAUGCAAAUUUCGAAGUUAAUCCAGAUCUGAAUAAACCUUAUGUUCAAGUUGUUAAACAGCAAGUUAAGAUGCACCAAGAUGAUCUACACGAGAUUCUAGUCAAGUUACAUAUAAAGUUCAUUUAAUUUGGAGCUACGGCCUAGAAGAUAUGAGCAAAACAAGUUAAACAUGGCAUUAAUGCAAAAUGCACCCAAACAUCAAGCAAACACCUCAAAACAAGGAUGCAACAUGAUAAUAUGAAGCUACAUGCAAAAUCAAGCAAGUAUCAUAUAGAGCACACUCAAAACGGAGCAACGAUUCAACAAACACAUGAAACAAGUUUAAAGGACAAGCUGUCCAAAACAGCAACUAGGCAUAUUGCAAGCAUCAAAACAACAUGCUACAGCACCUCAACAUAAUAACAAAACGCAUGGGCAUGAUGUACAGGUAAAGCAUAACAAAACAUGAACAUUGAGCUAUCUCCAGAAAUCACUAGAACAUGCUCAAACACACAUGGUAAGAUUACAAGUUAUAACAAUUUCAGACUUUGCAGAAAAUAGCAUCACAAUGCAAUGUUCAGAGCUAUCCAACAACAUGUUAUAGAAACUUAUCAUGGCAAACAAAGGCAUGGCAUGAAUCUACUAAAAGCAUAGAUCAAAAGUCCCUUACUGACCAUAAGCCAAAAAGGAUCAGAAAAUAUGAUGGCACCCAUGUAAACAUAGCAAGUUAUAUUACAGAUUCAAACAUGGCAGAAACAGAAUUAUGAAGGCAUGUAGAUGAACUUGUGCAACUCACUACAAAGCAAUACAUGGCAUGGCAAGGCAACCAACAGUAAGAAGGCAUGUUUGUGAAGCUAAGCAUGGCAAAAGCAAGUUCAUAGGAUGCAUGGAACACUAGGAAAACACAUGGCCACAACUGAACUUAAUGUUAACUGGCUGACAACAACAUUAUGAAGCAACUUUGAAGCAAGAUAUGAACAAGCUACAGCAAGAUAUAAAUGCAACCAGGGGCAUGGAUGGAUAUAGCAUGACAUGUAGAACAAAACAUGUUUAAUGAUCAUCUCCAGAUUAUGCAUAGAAUGAUUAGUAGCAACAUGUUUAUAUAGCAUCACGAAAUAACAGAUUCAGCCUAGCAAAACAGCAACAUCAUGUACACUGCUUAACAAGCUUGAUUCACUCACCACAAGUCAUUACAUGACAAGAUAAGCAUAGAAUCAUCAAGAAGACAUGUUUGUGAAACAAACCAAGUCAAGAACAAGUCCAUAGCAUGCACGCAUCAUCUACAACAACCUUGGCUAAAUUGAAUAACAUGUAAACAAUCUGCCAGGAAACAUUUUGAAGCAAAAGUAGAUUACUCAAAUGACAUGCUAAACUACUCCAUAAUUGCAACAAAGGGCAGGAAUGGAUAGACAAUAACCAUAUGUUCAAAACACCCUUAAUGAAGUAUCUCAAAAUAUGCAUGGAUCACUCUGUAGCAUCAACUUUACAUGGCAUCAAAAUAACAGCAGAACAGGGACUAAAAUCAGCAAUAUCACGAUGCCUAGUUUGCAUGCUUGUGCUAGUCACCACAUUGAUCACAAAAAUACAUGGUAAGCACCUCUGUAAAAAAGACAUAGCAUAAUCAAAACACAUGUAGACAUCAACCUCAUAAGAUGCACACAACAAUCAUGGCAAAAAUGACAAAAGAGCUCGUUCUGAUAAUAGACAGCAGAAAACAUCAUGAAGCACUCUUACAACGAUGAUUUAGGCAUCAAGAUGACCUCAAAUGAAUAUGAUGCAAUGGAAUGAAAUGGUGUACUCGUUGAGACGAACAAUUUGACAUAUUACACGCACGAAAUGGAGCCACGGAUGCAGAGAUAUGAUGGCAUGAACAUGGCAUGAAAAUUACUGGAAUCUGGGGACUUAGCAGUUUUCUCACCACGGGGAAAAAGUCAACCGCGGCACGGAGAUCGAGGAUGGCCGGAAUCUCACCGGAGAUGGACGUGGAAGUCGCCGGGGAGGUCCGGAGAUUUCGGAUCCGGGCCGGAUCUCGCCGGAUCCGGGCCGGAUCUCGCCGGAUCCGGGCCGGAUCUCGCCGGAUCCGGCCGGAUCCCGGCGCGGGGAGGCGGAGGAGGCGCAGGGCGAGGACGAGCGCCGGAGCUUCGGGGCGGGGCGAGCGGCGGCNNNNNNNNNNNNNNNNNNNNNNNNNNNNNNNNNNNNNNNNNNNNNNNNNNNNNNNNNNNNNNNNNNNNNNNNNNNNNNNNNNNNNNNNNNNNNNNNNNNNNNNNNNNNNNNNNNNNNNNNNNNNNNNNNNNNNNNNNNNNNNNNNNNNNNNNNNNNNNNNNNNNNNNNNNNNNNNNNNNNNNNNNNNNNNNNNNNNNNNNNNNNNNNNNNNNNNNNNNNNNNNNNNNNNNNNNNNNNNNNNNNNNNNNNNNNNNNNNNNNNNNNNNNNNNNNNNNNNNNNNNNNNNNNNNNNNNNNNNNNNNNNNNNNNNNNNNNNNNNNNNNNNNNNNNNNNNNNNNNNNNNNNNNNNNNNNNNNNNNNNNNNNNNNGCCGGCUGCGGGCCUGGAGGGCCCGGCGGCGCGGGAGACGGCGGCGCCCACGUGGCGGCCGUGGAUUGGCCGGGGCGGUGGUGGCGGACAUUGUCCGGCCGGACCGGACAUGUCCGGCGGCGCGGAGAGGAGCGGGGCUAGGCUUAGGGGUGGAUUUGAUCCGGAAUUUCGGGGGAGGAGGUGUUUAUAUAGGUAGGGGGAGCUAGGAGAGUCCAAAUGAGAAGUGGUUUUCGGCCGCGCGAUCGUGAUCGAACGACCGAGAGCAUGGAGGGGAGUUAGAUGGGUUUUGGGCCAGUUUGGAAGAGUGUUGGGCUGCAAAGAGAGAGGGGCUUUUACGGUUACCCGGUUAACCAUUGGAGUACCAAACGACCUCCAAAUGGCACGAAACUUGACAGGCGGUCUACCGGUGGUAUACCAAAGCCGCUUGGCAAACCUCGGUUCAUUCCGAGAACGUUCAACACCCACUCACAACAGGAGACGAAAAGGGGAACGCCGGAGGGCAUAGGAGCGCCGGAUUGCAAAAUGGACAACGGGGAAAAUGCUCGGAUGCAUGAGACGAACACGUAUGCAAAAUGAAAUGCACAUGAUGACAUAAUAAAAUGCAACACGCAAGCAAAUGACAUGGCAACAACGGCGAGUAACUGGGAGACACCUGGCGCAUCGAAUCCGGGGCGUUACAGGCGUGAACGACCUCGCGAGGAUCGCUGGCAGGACCAGCCUCGCGAGGGGGCUUGGUGGGGUCAGCCUCGUGAGGAUUGCCCGCAGGGCAACACAGGCCUUCCUCCUCUGCCACCACCGCCAAGAAGGAAUGACGGCCACCACCAGGAUGAGGGGGCUAGGGGGCUUCCAGGAGCCACGUGCUAUCACUUGCAUCUUGGGCGGCACCCAGGCCCCAGCCUCUCAGCGCAUCUUCAAGCAGUUUGCUCGCGGGGUGAACGCAGUCCUCCCCAUGCUCGAGGCCACGCGCCCUCUCAGGUGGUCCACGUGCUCCAUCACGUUCAGCUCAGCGGAUCAGCUCAAGUGUGCGUCUACAGCUGGCGUCCUCCCAAUGCUUUGUUCCCCAGUCAUUAGCAAUGUGCAAGUUACCAGGACCCUCAUCGAUGGCGGCGCAGGACUCAACGUUCUGUCCAUCAAGGCGUUCAACAACCUACAAGUGCCUUAUGAUCAACUCCAGCCAACCAGCCGAGUCGCGUCUCAGGAGCGCUUCUGGCCUUCGCGCGUGGGACGCUGCGAGGGUCCGCUGCACAGCUACGUUCGCAUGCCUUUUGGUCUGUUGAAUGCGGCUGCCACUCACCAGCGUCUUCUGCGGAGCAUUUUGGCAGCUCGGGAGGCCAGACACCACGCGGUCCUAGCGGAGGUGGAGAUGGUCCUCGAGGAGCCGCCCGGACCCCCAGAGCCUCCCGAGGCUCAGGGCUCCGGUGGCUCGUGAGGAUCGGCCCCUUCACCGCGCAUCGUCAGCUACUUCAGCACCCGCUCUACAAUGGUAUCAGGUGACAUCUUUCGAGUUCAUUUCAGCUGGGAGCGUCCUCAGGGCUGCAUUAUUCCCAGGUCGCGUGGGUCUGUCCCUGAGGCAUGUAUCCCUUUUGCUUAUGUCUUUACUUUACCUUGCUUUGGGCGCCUCUCGGGUUGCAUCAUCCCCAAGCCGCUCGGGCCUGACCCAGUGGCAUGUAUCCUUCCUUCAUCUAUCUAAGCUGAUUUGCCUUUCAUGCUUAACCUGCUUGUGAUAAUCGCCUGCUCGAUUGACACCUACCUCUGGAGCCGCUCGUGCUGGCACGACGCUUGUGCAUGGGUCCGUCCCUGCAACAUCGAAAAAUCUGAGCAGUCGAGGUCUGGCCCGCAGCAGCCCCGCAAGCGUCACCUCACCAGGCCCUCAGUGCCCUCACCACUCUCUCGGAGCAACCAACUGUCGGCCGGCAAUCGUAAUGGCAACUCUUGCUUUUCUCGUGUUGGUUUACAGGGACUACCUAAGGCCUAAAACGGGAGGCAUCGCGAGCUCUGUCCUUCUCUUACCCGUGCGAUCUGCUUGCGCGUUAAAAGGGGGGCGCCUGAGCAUCACGACUCAGGAGCUCUUACUGGCUCUCCAGCCCUCACCCCCUGACCUUGUCCACGGCAUCGCGAUCUGGCAUAACAGCGGCAGCUGAGCUCGCUCGAGGGCCGGGACCUAAGGACGUAGAGCACGAAGGAGAGUACGGGGAAGAGAGAGGAAGCUCAGGAAGGCCUAGCCCAGCUAUAUCCCAGCUGCAGGCAUGCAAGUCCGGCGCCUCGCGAAGGAUCUACCCCUGCUUUCGAGAUAAGUCUCGCCCCUGGAAUAGCUAAUUGACGCGACACGAAACCUCCACCCAGUACGGCUCUGUGACAGCGACAUUGCCUUCCUUUCUCACCCAUCGACGGCUGCUUGCGCGCUAAAGGGGACCUCCUGAGCAUCGCGCCUCAGGGGCUCUUAUUGGACCUCGGGACGCUCACCUCCUGGCCUUGACCACGGCAUCGCGAUCUAGCAUGCCAGCGAUGGCUGAAGCCUGCCUGGGGACCGAGACCUGUCAGCGUAGAGUGCCAAGUCGUUGUGAGGUUAGAAAGGGGGAGCCAAGCCGGAACAGGACAAGCAUUUGCACCACUUCAUAAUCAGGAUAAUAUCAACAAAAGACAUUGCAGAUACUUUACAUGCCCCCACGGGGUACUUUCUCAAUUCCUCACAGGGAACAAAAGGUGUGAAUCCUAAGGAGCCCUAACUACACGCGCCCUCAUAGCCGACACCAUCAUCAACACUGGGCCACGAGGGGCUGGCGCCAACCCCUGAAGGAAAUAUGCCCUAGAGUCAAUAAUAAAGUUAUUACUUAUUUUUUCGUAUCAUGAUAAAUGUUUAUUAUUCAUGCUAGAAUUGUAUUAACCGGAAACACAAUACAUGUGUGAAUACAUAGACAAACUUAACGUCACUAGUAUGCCCGACCUAGGCUCAGCAGGGAGGUCCCCGCCGGUCUACAUCCUAAGCACUCCGGGGUCUUGGGCCCAUCGCCCGCAGCACUCCGGGUCGUUGCGAGCAGGGUGGAUACCAGCACCGCCUCGGAUGGCUAGCGCGAUCCGACCGUGCCGCACUGCUGAACUGGACAUCUGACAAAGCUUCGGCUGAUACUGCGACAUCGAGGAACAUAUCUAUUCUCGCGUGGUGGUUAGUGCGUAAAGGCCAAAGGCCAACUCAGAACAAAUACCCAAACCAUAGUGUAUUAUUAGCUUGCGGAGACGAGCAGAGACUCACGACCGAAAGUGACCCCAUCGCCCCGUCUCGUGGACUUACGACAAGGGCCUAGAAUGCCCGGUCGUGCCACGUCAUUAUCUUGCGGGUGCUCUCCGGGCCCGCCCGACUUCCACCAAGGUCUCAAGUAAAGUCAAAGUAACCAUGUGUCCAAACAUCAAGGGGAAAACCCGAGGAAUCACCCCCGGUGGAUUCCACUCAAUGUAAUCAUUAAGGUGAACGUAAGAGGGACCACCCUCGAGGUUCACUCUUGAGGUGUUGAACGACAGAGCCGUAUCAGGAAUGGUGAAAGAGGAAAUCACCCUCGAUGACCAUGACCGAAUAGCUACACUACAGAAUUAUCAUCAGGAGUGCGUUAUGAGGGAUCACCCUCAGCACUCGAUAGUAGCUCUGCAGAGUCGAGCAACAAAAGGGGUGUGAUGUGAUGUGAGGUGUCGGGCUCUAGUCGUCGAUCAUGCUGAUCGAGUCGUCGAUGAUGAAGCAGGGGCAACAAGGACAAGGUGGGGGUCUCUGAUGGAUCACUAACCAACCUAUACUAAGCAGUUUAGGAUAAGCAGGUAGGUAACAAUAGCAGAUACAAAAGCAGGCUAUGCAUCAGAAUAGAAGCAAACAAUAACAGUAGCAAAAUCUAAUGCAAGCAUGAAAGUAUAGAAUGGGCGAUAUCGGGAUGAUCAAAGGGGGGGCUUGCCUAGUUGCUCAGACAAGGAGGGUCGUCGUCGACGUAGUCGGUCACAGGGACAUCAGCAUCGGUCUCGGGGUCUACCGGAGAGAAGAGGGGGAAGAAACAGUAAAUACACGCAAACAUAUGCAUAACAAGACAAUAAGCAAUGCUAGAGGUGAUCUAACGUAGCAUCAGGCGAUACUGGCAAAGGGGGGAAACAUCCGAGAAAGUUUUCCCGGUUCCGGAUGUCUAUUAGACAGAUGAAAUGGAGGGGAAAAGUUCAACGUUUGCUAUGCUAGGGAUGUGUGGCGAGUGAACGGAUCGCGUGUCCAGAUUUGUCUCGUCGUUCUAAGCAAUUUUCAUGUACAAAGUUUUUCGAUCCGAGUUACGGUUAAUUUUCUAUGACUUUUCAACGUUUUAAUUAUUUUCUAAAAAUACCUAGAUUUAAUAUUAAUUCGAAAAUACACCUAAAAAUACUAGAUGCACCCAGUCCAAUGAACCCAGCAGUGCAUUAGAGGCUGACAGUGGGUCCCAGUUGACUGCCCAGUCAGCAGUCAACUGUGGACUUUGACUAGUCAAAUUUACUAAGGGACCCACCUGUCAUUGGGACAAACUUAACAAUUUUCUUUUAGAUGGAUAAGUUGAGGUGGGGGGCACUGUCAUAGACUAAACUAGCCACUAAUUAAACCCUAAAACUAUCCUAUCCCUAAUUAACUAAACCGGCCAGAAGCACAGGCCUAUGCACGCCAUGCAUACACGCACGGCCAUGGCCAAGUAGCAAGCACGGCCAGUAGCAACAGAAACAGCAGCGUAGCUGCGGGAGUAGCAGGGAGGCACGACAGCGGGUAACAACGGGUGCGCGUCGGAGCAGCAGGUGCGACCAGGAGCAGGGGUUGCCGCACACGGCCGCGUUCGCGUGGCAGGGGCGCGGCCAGGACCGAGGCACGGCGCGCGGGAGAGCAGAGCUCCGGCCACGGAGACGACGAGCGCACGACAGUAGCGGCGGCAAAAACUAGCGGGAGCAGCGGCUGCGGCAAGCGAGAGGGGCAGCAGCGCAGCGUGGCGGCGGACGGCUAAGGCGCGCGCGGCGCUGGGGCGCGCACGUACGCGGAAACUUGAGCAUGGCCAUGGACGAGGACGACCGAGCUCGGGGACGACGGCAAACAGUGACGAACGGAAGGGGAAUGGGGGGAAAUCGGCAGAGGAGCUCACCGCGAGCUUGAUGGCGCGGUCGGGGAGGCUGGAGGUGGACCGGAGGCGACAAAUCCGACGACGAACGGCGGUGGCCGUGGCGAGGAAGACGGCCAGAUGGCGAGGUUGUGGAGAGCUCCAGCUUGAACCAGAGGUGAUAGGCGAUGCAGACGAGGCCGAUGGAGCUCUAGAGCAUAUCCUCGUGGGUCGGGGACGGCUCCGGUCAGGGGAACAACGGUGGUGCGGCCAUGUACGUGCUCGGAUGCUGCGGAUCUGGAGGGUGAGCACGGGCGAGAGGAAGAGGGAGAGCGGGGUGGAUCUGGGAGGUGAGGCAAGUGGGGAGGGGAGACGGGGAAGCCCGAGGCGUCAGGGGAUCUUAUCCCCUCGCCGACGACGCUGGUGAGCCGGUCGGGUGGCGACCGCGACCGAGCGGUCGGUCGAGCAGUAGAAGACGACCGAGGGUGGGGGUUGGGCUGCUGGGCA
RNAcentral lists this long non-coding RNA (9919 nucleotides) under Triticum aestivum (bread wheat). RNAcentral's name for it is "long non-coding RNA (TAES_LNC012188)". Lineage: Eukaryota; Viridiplantae; Streptophyta; Magnoliopsida; Poales; Poaceae. The record is from RNAcentral.